GACGAACGCUGGCGGCGUGCCUAAUACAUGCAAGUCGAGCGGAGUUGAAAAAAAGUUUACUUUUUUUCUUCUCAGCGGCGGACGGGUGAGUAACACGUGGGCAACCUGCCCUGUAGACUGGGAUAACUUCGGGAAACCGAAGCUAAUACCGGAUAAUCAUAGAAGUUGCAUAGCUUCUAUGUAAAAGUUGGGUUUACCUAACACUACAGGAUGGGCCCGCGUCGCAUUAGCUAGUUGGUAAGGUAACGGCUUACCAAGGCGACGAUGCGUAGCCGACCUGAGAGGGUGAUCGGCCACACUGGGACUGAGACACGGCCCAGACUCCUACGGGAGGCAGCAGUAGGGAAUCUUCCGCAAUGGACGAAAGUCUGACGGAGCAAACGCCGCGUGAGCGAUGAAGGCCUUCGGGUCGUAAAAGCUCUG
This 423-nucleotide ribosomal RNA is filed under the name Bacillus sp. oral taxon C44. Its description in RNAcentral is "bacterial SSU rRNA". It matches the Rfam family "Bacterial small subunit ribosomal RNA", at positions 28 to 435 of the family's 1533-position model. Lineage: Bacteria; Bacillati; Bacillota; Bacilli; Caryophanales; Bacillaceae. The record is from RNAcentral.